GACGAACGCUGGCGGCGUGCUUAACACAUGCAAGUCGAACGGAAAGGCCCUGCUUUUGUGGGGUGCUCGAGUGGCGAACGGGUGAGUAACACGUGAGUAACCUGCCCUUGACUUUGGGAUAACUUCAGGAAACUGGGGCUAAUACCGGAUAGGAGCUCCUGCUGCAUGGUGGGGGUUGGAAAGUUUCGGCGGUUGGGGACGGACUCGCGGCUUAUCAGCUUGUUGGUGGGGUAGUGGCUUACCAAGGCUUUGACGGGUAGCCGGCCUGAGAGGGUGACCGGCCACAUUGGGACUGAGAUACGGCCCAGACUCCUGCGGGAGGCAGCAGUGGGGAAUAUUGCACAAUGGGCGGAAGCCUGAUGCAGCAACGCCGCGUGCGGGAUGACGGCCUUCGGGUUGUAAACCGCUUUCGCCUGUGACGAAGCGUGAGUGACGGUAAUGGGUAAAGAAGCACCGGCUAACUACGUG
RNAcentral lists this ribosomal RNA (468 nucleotides) under uncultured bacterium. Its description in RNAcentral is "partial 16S ribosomal RNA". It matches the Rfam family "Bacterial small subunit ribosomal RNA", at positions 28 to 507 of the family's 1533-position model. The record is from RNAcentral.